UACGGAGGGGGCAAGCGUUGUCCGGAAUUAUUGGGCGUAAAGCGCGCGCAGGCGGUUUGGAAAGUCUGGUGUUUAAGGCUGAGGCUCAACCUCAGUUCGCACUGGAAACUGUCAGACUUGAGUGCAGAAGAGGAAAGUGGAAUUCCUGGUGUAGCGGUGAAAUGCGCAGAUAUCAGGAGGAACACCAAUUGCGAAGGCAGCUCGCUGGGACGUUACUGACGCUGAGACGCGAAAGCGUGGGGAGCAAACAGG
RNAcentral lists this ribosomal RNA (252 nucleotides) under uncultured bacterium. RNAcentral's name for it is "partial 16S ribosomal RNA". It matches the Rfam family "Bacterial small subunit ribosomal RNA", at positions 524 to 776 of the family's 1533-position model. The record is from RNAcentral.